This 406-nucleotide ribosomal RNA is filed under the name uncultured bacterium. RNAcentral describes it as "partial 16S ribosomal RNA". It matches the Rfam family "Bacterial small subunit ribosomal RNA", at positions 29 to 526 of the family's 1533-position model. The record is from RNAcentral.
AUUGAACGCUGGCGGCAGGCCUAACACAUGCAAGUCGAACGAGUGGCGGGCGGGUGAGUAAUGUCUGGGAAACUGCCUGAGGGAGGGGGAUAACUACUGGAAAAGGUAGAUAAAACCGUAUACACUCAGAUGUGCCCAGAUGGGAUUGGCUGGUUGGUGGGGUAACGGCUCCCAUAGGCGACGAUCCCGAGCUGGUCUGAGAGGAAGACCAGCCAUACUGGAAAGUAGACCCGGUCCAGACUCAUACGGGAGGCAGCAGUGGGGAAUAUUGCACAAUGGGGGCAAGCCUUAUGCAGCCAUGCCGCGUGUAUGAAGAAGGCCGUAGGGUUGUAAAGUACUUUCAGCGGGGAGGCGUUACCCGCAGAAGAAGCACCGGCUAACUCCGUGCCAGCAGCCGCGGUAAUAC